ACUUGGACAGUGUCCUGUGUUUGAAGCCACUGUGUGCAUCCCAAAGUGAUGAUGAUACAUCCAGUCCUCUGGCCCAAAAAGCAAGCACAUUUAACACAUGCGUGGACGCAUGGAGAGAUGGAGAGCUCCGAUUCCUGGUGUCUCACCCCACGAUGACUGUGCCGAUGCUCUUUGCCAUCAGGAGUGUCUCACUCUCAGGAAUACAUUGAUUUUCAAAUAGUGAACCAGCCUUGUGUCCCUGGAAUAAACUUCAGUUGGUCAUUAAGAGGACGUCAGAGAGACACUCCAUGGCCUCAAAAGCACAUGCCAGGCUGUGACCUGCCUCAGGAGGCCACGUGGGAAAGAGCUGAGUGGCCCGUGAUGAUGGUCAGCAGGGAAAGGGGCACCGAGGAACCGCAUUCUGUCAACCAAAAGAACGAGUUUGAAAGGAUUUUCCCCAGAGCGUCCUGAUGAGAACUCCGUGUAGCUGACAGCUUGGUCUCAGCCUUCUGAUGCUCUAGAACCCUCCGUGCUUCACGAGACUUCUGACCUACGGAACUGCCUGCUAAUGAUGUGUAAGCUGGAACUGAAUGACCAUGGAAAUGAAAUUUCAACACCACAUGUCACAUGCCAGG
This is a long non-coding RNA of Eptesicus fuscus (big brown bat), 614 nucleotides long. RefSeq lists it as uncharacterized. The transcript is spliced from 4 exons. The record is from RefSeq and is a predicted model, not a curated record. NCBI's taxonomy places the organism in Eukaryota, Metazoa, Chordata, Mammalia, Chiroptera, Vespertilionidae.